This 408-nucleotide ribosomal RNA is filed under the name uncultured beta proteobacterium BandBr2. RNAcentral's name for it is "bacterial SSU rRNA". It matches the Rfam family "Bacterial small subunit ribosomal RNA", at positions 223 to 621 of the family's 1533-position model. Lineage: Bacteria; Pseudomonadati; Pseudomonadota; Betaproteobacteria. The record is from RNAcentral.
GGAGCGGCCGAUGUCUGAUUAGCUAGUUGGUGAGGUAAAGGCUUACCAAGGCNUCGAUCAGUAGCUGGUCUGAGAGGACGACCAGCCACACUGGGACUGAGACACGGCCCAGACUCUACGGGAGGCAGCAGUGGGGAAUUUUGGACAAUGGGGGAAACCCUGAUCCAGCCAUGCCGCGUGAGUGAAGAAGGCCUUCGGGUUGUAAAGCUCUUUCAGCCGGAACGAAANGNNGUACNGGNUAAUACCNNGUGACUAAUGACGGUACCGGAAGAAGAAGCACCGGCUAACUACGUGCCAGCAGCCGCGGUAAUACGUAGGGUGCAAGCGUUAAUCGGAAUUACUGGGCGUAAAGCGUGCGCAGGCGGUUUUUUAAGUCAGAUGUGAAAUCCCCGGGCUUAACCUGGGAAC